RNAcentral lists this ribosomal RNA (24 nucleotides) under Xylaria sp. A6. RNAcentral's name for it is "partial 28S ribosomal RNA". The record is from RNAcentral. Lineage: Eukaryota; Fungi; Ascomycota; Sordariomycetes; Xylariales; Xylariaceae.
GUGACCUCGAUCAGGUAGAAACCC